This 531-nucleotide ribosomal RNA is filed under the name uncultured bacterium. Its description in RNAcentral is "bacterial SSU rRNA". It matches the Rfam family "Bacterial small subunit ribosomal RNA", at positions 276 to 805 of the family's 1533-position model. The record is from RNAcentral.
ACGAUGCGUAGGGGUUCUGAGAGGAAGGUCCCCCACACUGGUACUGAGACACGGACCAGACUCCUACGGGAGGCAGCAGUGAGGAAUAUUGGUCAAUGGGCGGGAGCCUGAACCAGCCAAGUCGCGUGAGGGAUGACGGCCCUAUGGGUUGUAAACCUCUUUUGCCGGGGAGCAAAGUGCCGCACGUGUGCGGUUUGGAGAGUACCCGGAGAAAAAGCAUCGGCUAACUCCGUGCCAGCAGCCGCGGUAAUACGGAGGAUGCGAGCGUUAUCCGGAUUUAUUGGGUUUAAAGGGUGCGUAGGCGGACGCUUAAGUCAGCGGUAAAAUUGCGGGGCUCAACCUCGUCGAGCCGUUGAAACUGGGUGCCUUGAGUGGGCGAGAAGUACGCGGAAUGCGUGGUGUAGCGGUGAAAUGCAUAGAUAUCACGCAGAACUCCGAUUGCGAAGGCAGCGUACCGGCGCCCAACUGACGCUGAAGCACGAAGGCGUGGGUAUCGAACAGGAUUAGAUACCCUGGUAGUCCACGCAGUAA